GGGGAUAUAGCUCAGUUGGUAGAGUGCUUGCCUCAAAUGCACAAGGCCCUGGGUUCAAUCCCGAGUACCCCCC
This 73-nucleotide transfer RNA is filed under the name Marmota marmota marmota (Alpine marmot). It matches the Rfam family "tRNA". From Rfam's summary of the family: Transfer RNA (tRNA) molecules are approximately 80 nucleotides in length. Their secondary structure includes four short double-helical elements and three loops (D, anti-codon, and T loops). The record is from Rfam by way of RNAcentral. RNAcentral also lists the same sequence under 1 other name. Lineage: Eukaryota; Metazoa; Chordata; Mammalia; Rodentia; Sciuridae.